RNAcentral lists this ribosomal RNA (460 nucleotides) under uncultured bacterium. RNAcentral describes it as "partial 16S ribosomal RNA". It matches the Rfam family "Bacterial small subunit ribosomal RNA", at positions 338 to 795 of the family's 1533-position model. The record is from RNAcentral.
CCUACGGGAGGCUGCAGUGAGGAAUAUUGGUCAAUGGACGAGAGUCUGAACCAGCCAAGUAGCGUGAAGGAUGACUGCCCUAUGGGUUGUAAACUUCUUUUAUAUGGGAAUAAAAUGUUCCACGUGUGGGAUUUUGUAUGUACCAUAUGAAUAAGGAUCGGCUAACUCCGUGCCAGCAGCCGCGGUAAUACGGAGGAUCCGAGCGUUAUCCUGAUUUAUUGGGUUUAAAGGGAGCGUAGGUGGAUUGUUAAGUCAGUUGUGAAAGGUUGCGGCUCAACCAUAAAAUUGCAGUUGAAACUGGCAGUCUUGAGUACAGUAGAGGUGGGCGGAAUUCGUGGUGUAGCGGUGAAAUGCUUAGAUAUCACGAAGAACUCCGAUUGCGAAGGCAGCUCACUGGACUGCAACUGACACUGAGGCUCGAAAGUGUGGGUAUCAAACAGGAUUAGAUACCCCUGUAGUC